UACCUGCAGCUCGAGUGGUGGCCGCUAUUAUUGGGCCUAAAACGUCCGUAGCCGGUUUAAUAAAUGCCUGGGUAAAUCGUGUAGCUUAACUAUACGAAUUCCGGGUAGACUGUUGGACUUGAGACCGGGAGAAGCUAGAGGUACUCCUGGGGUAGAGGUGAAAUUCUGUAAUCCUAUGGGGACCACCAGUGGCGAAGGCGUCUAGCUAGAACGGGUCUGACGGUGAGGGACGAAGCCCUGGGGCGCAAACCGGAUUAGAUACCCGGGUAGUCCAGGGUGUAAACGCUGCUUGCUUGAUGUUAGUUGGGCUCUGAGCCCAAUUAGUGUCGGGGAGAAGUUGUUAAGCAAGCUGCCUGGGUAGUACGGCCGCAAGGCUGAAACUUAAAGGAAUUGGCGGGGGAGCACCACAAGGCGUGAAGCUUGCGGUUC
Molecule: ribosomal RNA, 429 nt
Filed under: uncultured archaeon
Lineage: Archaea
Description: bacterial SSU rRNA
Rfam family: Archaeal small subunit ribosomal RNA
Source: RNAcentral